ACGAGUUAGGGUCUUCCAGGCCCGACCUCCCAACCCUAUGUCUAUCAAACUUUUUGUUGCUUCGGCGGGCCCGUCGUAAACGACCGCCGGAGGAUUUGUCGAGAGACGUCCUCUGGCCUGCGCCCGUCGAUGGCCCAACUCGUUAAACUCUAAACUAAACAUGAUUAUGUCUAAGUCUAUGAUUAAAUAAGCA
RNAcentral lists this unclassified non-coding RNA (193 nucleotides) under uncultured Capronia. RNAcentral's name for it is "sequence contains ITS1". The record is from RNAcentral. Lineage: Eukaryota; Fungi; Ascomycota; Eurotiomycetes; Chaetothyriales; Herpotrichiellaceae.